RNAcentral lists this ribosomal RNA (468 nucleotides) under uncultured bacterium. Its description in RNAcentral is "partial 16S ribosomal RNA". It matches the Rfam family "Bacterial small subunit ribosomal RNA", at positions 28 to 507 of the family's 1533-position model. The record is from RNAcentral.
GACGAACGCUGGCGGCGUGCUUAACACAUGCAAGUCGAACGGAAAGGCCCUGCUUUUGUGGGGUGCUCGAGUGGCGAACGGGUGAGUAACACGUGAGUAACCUGCCCUUGACUUUGGGAUAACUUCAGGAAACUGGGGCUAAUACCUGAUAGGAGCUCCUGCUGCAUGGUGGGGGUUGGAAAGUUUCGGCGGUUGGGGAUGGACUCGCGGCUUAUCAGCUUGUUGGUGGAGUAGUGGCUUACCAAGGCUUUGACGGGUAGCCGGCCUGAGAGGGUGAGCGGCUAAGUCGGGAAUGAGAUGCGGCACAUGGUGGUGCGGGGUGGAGCAGGGGGGACGAUUAGAUGAUGGGUGGGAGCGUGAAGCAGCAACGUCGCGUGCGGGAGAGCGACAUGCGAGUUGGAUGCCUCAUUAACCUCUGCUGAACAGAGAGUAAAGGAAAUGGGUUGAGACACAGAGGCUAGCCAAGUG